This 633-nucleotide ribosomal RNA is filed under the name Sarcocystis cruzi. RNAcentral describes it as "SSU rRNA". Lineage: Eukaryota; Apicomplexa; Conoidasida; Eucoccidiorida; Sarcocystidae. The record is from RNAcentral.
CUCAGGGAGGUAGUGACAAGAAAUAACAACACUGGAAAUUUUAUUUCUAGUGAUUGGAAUGAUGGGAAUUUAAACCCCUUUCAGAGUAACAAUUGGAGGGCAAGUCUGGUGCCAGCAGCCGCGGUAAUUCCAGCUCCAAUAGCGUAUAUUAAAGUUGUUGCAGUUAAAAAGCUCGUAGUUGGAUGUCUGCUGGAAGCAAUCAGUCCGCCCUAUUUGUAGGGUGUGCACUUGAUGAAUUCUGGCAUCUAURUCCCAAUAAUAUGAUGGUGUAUACCCUGUGUACACCCAUCUAUAUUGGGAUAAUACCGUUACUUUGAGAAAAUUAGAGUGUUUGAAGCAGGCUAAUUGCCUUGAAUACUGCAGCAUGGAAUAACAAUAUAGGAUUUCGGUUCUAUUUUGUUGGUUUCUAGGACUGAAAUAAUGAUUAAUAGGGACAGUUGGGGGCAUUCGUAUUUAACUGUCAGAGGUGAAAUUCUUAGAUUUGUUAAAGACGAACUACUGCGAAAGCAUUUGCCAAAGAUGUUUUCAUUAAUCAAGAACGAAAGUUAGGGGCUCGAAGACGAUCAGAUACCGUCGUAGUCUUAACCAUAAACUAUGCCGACUAGAGAUAGGAAAAUGUCAUUUUUCUGACUU